This 597-nucleotide unclassified non-coding RNA is filed under the name Hevea brasiliensis (rubber tree). Lineage: Eukaryota; Viridiplantae; Streptophyta; Magnoliopsida; Malpighiales; Euphorbiaceae. The record is from RNAcentral.
GGAAUGCUUUUAUUUGAUCCUCUUUUAGAUUACGAUAUAGGGAUGUGUUCACAUUUGACUAGUGAACUGUAAGUGUCUUGAUAAUGCGAAGUUAAUAAUUUGCAAGAGUUAGAAAACUCUGAAAGCUUGCUUUGGUAAUGAGAGGUUUAGUUAAAUGGUGUUGGAGUCGGUUUAAUUUAGUUGUUUUUAAGGUAAUAAAAUAUGAAUUCGAACCCCAUUCAAAAGUAGGAUGUCAGGCCUGCUUAGCUUUCUCAUUUUUGAUCCAUUAGUGUGAAGUUUAACACAAUAACAAUUAAGUUAACAAUUAAGUAAUCCUAUGCGUAUUUUCUUUUUUGGCCAUUCAGCUAAGUUAUCAUUAAUAUUAGAAAGUUUAUAUUUUUUUUGCAUAAUUUUUUGUUUUUUUAUUUAUUACUUUAUCACUGAUUUAUUAUAUCUAGUUAAAAAUGCGCUUGAUAUAAAUUAAAAUUAAUUCUAAUUCGUAUUGCAAGGUGGUUAAAAAAAAAUGAGAUAAAGCUAUUUACUCGUGUAGCAAAUUACAUUUAAGGCGGUACAAAUGAACAAUUGCUACCCUUAUGUGAUCUUCUGGGCAGUUAGGCU